This 499-nucleotide long non-coding RNA is filed under the name Dasypus novemcinctus (nine-banded armadillo). RNAcentral's name for it is "lncRNA (ENSDNOG00000051648.1)". The record is from RNAcentral. Lineage: Eukaryota; Metazoa; Chordata; Mammalia; Cingulata; Dasypodidae.
AGCGGACACAGAAGAACACACAGCAAAUGGGCAUAAGAAAACAGACAAGGGGGGGGGGCGUGGAGGGGAGAGAAAUAAAUAAAAUAAAUCUUUAAAAAAAAAAAAAAGAAAUACCUGCAGCGACCUAACCCCUCCUCCCUUCCCCCCAAACCUGCGCAGCGUUGACCAGGACCUGGUGCGGCCUGCGGGUCACGCUGGCUCGAGCCACGGUGGGAGGGGCCACGGCCAUGGGCAGCCUCACCUGUUGCGGCCACCUCCCCCUCAGGCAGAACCGGAAAACGUGGACCUAAAACGAUCCCCAAGGAUCACCAGCUGCUCAGCUUUCCUCCUCCCUGAACAGACAAGAAGCCUGGAGUUCCAGGACGGGAAAUGAUUUUGUCCAGCUCCCAUGGUGAGCAGAUGGAAUGGGCCUCAAUCUGAUAUCUUUUUUUUUUUUUUUUUUCAGGCCAUCGAGCUGUUUUGCACACACCCAAGUCUGGGAAGCAGGGAACAAGAGGAC